GACGAACGCUGGCGGCGUGCUUAACACAUGCAAGUCGAACGAUGAACCCGGAGCUUGCUCUGGGGGAUUAGUGGCGAACGGGUGAGUAACACGUGAGUAACCUGCCCUGGACUCUGGGAUAAGCGUUGGAAACGACGUCUAAUACCGGAUAGGACCUUGGAUCGCAUGAUCUGGGGUGGAAAGUUUUUUCGGUCUGGGAUGGACUCGCGGCCUAUCAGCUUGUUGGUGAGGUAAUGGCUCACCAAGGCGUCGACGGGUAGCCGGCCUGAGAGGGUGACCGGCCACACUGGGACUGAGACACGGCCCAGACUGCUACGGGAGGCAGCAGUGGGGAAUAUUGCACAAGGGGCGAAAGCCUGAUGCAGCAACGCCGCGUGCGGGAUGACGGCCUUCGGGUUGUAAACCGCUUUUAGUAGGGAAGAAGGGCUUCGGCUUGACGGUACCUGCAGAAAAAGGACCGGCUAACUACGUG
Molecule: ribosomal RNA, 472 nt
Filed under: uncultured bacterium
Lineage: Bacteria
Description: partial 16S ribosomal RNA
Rfam family: Bacterial small subunit ribosomal RNA
Source: RNAcentral